RNAcentral lists this ribosomal RNA (121 nucleotides) under Danio rerio (zebrafish). The record is from RNAcentral. Lineage: Eukaryota; Metazoa; Chordata; Actinopteri; Cypriniformes; Danionidae.
GCUGGCCGGCAGAGCUCGCUUUCUGCAGUUCUCACAUGGUCGCCCACUGAAGCUAAGCAGGGCUGCGCCCGGUCAGUACCUUGAUGGAAGACCACAUGGGACAGCUAGGUUGCUGCAGGAA